GAUAGCGGCGAACGAGUUAGUAACACCUUGGUACGUACCUCAAAGACGGGUAUAGCCCCGCGAAAGCGGGGGUAAUCCCCGAUACUGUCGCAAGAUGAAAGUCGCAAGACGCUUUGAUAUCGGCCUAGGUCCGAUCAGCUAGUUGGUAGGGUAACGGCCUACCAAGGCGAUGACCGGUAGGGGAGCUGAGAGGCUGACCCCCAACGACGAAACUGAGACACGGUUCGUACACCUACGGGUGGCAGCAGUCGAGAAUAUUCCACAAUGGGCGAAAGCCUGAUGGAGCGACGCCGCGUGCAGGAAGAAGGUCCUCGGAUUGUAAACUGCUUUUCUACGGGAAGAACACAAUGACGGUACCGUAGGAAUAAGAAGCUGCAAACUACGUGCCAGCAGCCGCGGUAAUACGUAGGCUUCAAGCGUUAUCCGGAUUUAUUGGGCGUAAAGGGUGUGUAGGGGGUUUCGCGCGUCUCCUGUUAAAGACCGCUGCUCAACGGCGGAAGUGCGGGGGAUACGGCGAAACUAGAGGGCGCGAGAGGUUUGCGGAACACAUGGUGUAGGGGUGACAUCCGUUGAUAUCAUGUGGAACACCGAACGCGAACGCAGCAAACUGGCGCGUUCCUGACCCUGAAACACGUAGCGUGGGGAGCAAAAAGGAUUAGAUACCCUUGUAGUCCACGCCCUAAACUAUGUCUACUAGCUGUUUCGAGUAUCGACCCUCGGAGUGGCGUAGCUAACGCGUUAAGUAGACCGCCUGGGAAGUACGGCCGCAAGGCUAAAACUCAAAGGAAUAGACGGAGACUCGCACAAGCGGUGGAUUACGAGGUUUAAUUCGAUAGUAGACGAAGAACCUUACCAGGGCUUGAAAUGUUUGCGGAAAAUCCGCGGAAACGUGGAAAUUCUCUCAAGGACCGCAAGCACAGGUGCUGCAUGGUUGUUGUCAGCUCGUGUCGUGAGAUGUUCCAUUAAGUUGGGUAACGAGCGCAACCCCUAUUGCGUGUUAUACGUGUCACGCGAAACUGCCUUGUUUUUCAAGGAGGAAGGUGGGGACGACGUCAAAUCCGCAUGGCCCUCUGAUGCCCUGGGCCACACUCAUAAUACAAUGGUUAAUACAACGGGUUGCCAAGCCGCAAGGCGGAGCUAAUCCUCCAAAAUUAGCCCCAGUUCAGAUUGAAGGCUGCAACUCGCCUUCAUGAAGUCGGAAUCGUUAGUAAUCGCAGGUCAGCUAUAGUGCGGUGAAUACGUUCUCGAGUCUUGUACUCACUGCCCGUCAAGCCAGGGGAGCCGGGGGCGAAUGAAGUUUCAGUACGGUGGAAUAAGUUCGAAUUCGGUGACAUGGGUUAAGUCGUAACAAGGUAACC
Molecule: ribosomal RNA, 1358 nt
Filed under: uncultured bacterium
Lineage: Bacteria
Description: 16S ribosomal RNA
Rfam family: Bacterial small subunit ribosomal RNA
Source: RNAcentral